Molecule: ribosomal RNA, 274 nt
Filed under: uncultured bacterium
Lineage: Bacteria
Description: partial 16S ribosomal RNA
Rfam family: Bacterial small subunit ribosomal RNA
Source: RNAcentral
AUACGAAGGGGGCUAGCGUUGUUCGGAAUUACUGGGCGUAAAGCGCGCGUAGGCGGACUGAUCAGUUGGGGGUGAAAUCCCAGGGCUUAACCCUGGAACUGCCUCCAAUACUGUCAGUCUUGAGUUCGGGAGAGGUGAGUGGAAUUCCUAGUGUAGAGGUGAAAUUCGUAGAUAUUAGGAAGCACACCAGUGGCGAAGGCGGCUCACUGGCCCGAUACUGACGCUGAGGCGCGAAAGCGUGGGGAGCAAACAGGAUUAGAUACCCUAGUAGUCC